UAUCCAUUCCUCAUUUGCGGGAGCCAAUCACCACACCACCCAUCCAUAACAUCUGAUAAUGUUUCUAAGUUUUGUUCCAAAUCCUUGAGAGCUUGAAAAGUUAAAAAAUGCUUUAGCUAGCUCUAGAAAUCUGGAGGACCCUGGAACCAACUCAAAUUCACAUCACUGCCUAUAGAUUAAAUACUCCAUCAUCUUUUAAAAAAAUACAGCUUGUAAAAUUUGACAUAGAAAUUUAGUCUGCCUUAUAACAGGAAGAAGAAAACUGGGUUGAAAGAGAAAGAAAUAGGAUAGUGAGACUACAACAAAGAAAACCAAGCUCUUUACAUGUGACAUGGCAGUGGGCUAAGGGAAAAGGCUUGUUCUUAGGGAGGGAGUUGUGCUGCUGGGGAAAGAAGCGCCCAGAGGGGCAGAAGAGAUUUCAUUCUGCCUAUCCAUCAUAGGAACCAACCUGACCAAACCCAGUCUGUCUGUUGUAGUCUAGGCAACAGCACAGGGGUAGAGGUAAAGCUGUCUAAAACCCUGCUCUGUUGUAGCUUACCCCAGCUUAGAAUAGGAGCAAAGCUAGUUAGUGGUUGUCCCUGCAUGGAGAUAGGCAAAGUGAGCUGCCAGGUGAGAUUAAAAUAAUUUAUGAGAUAAAAAUAAUUUUAAACAACAUUGACAAAAAGUGGCAAAUUUUUUUUUCAUUUUUCUUCUACAGGUGAAAAAGUGGGCUACACAAAGCCCCUCAUUUCCUCUGUGUGCCUUACACCAGCCCUGAACAGUUCCAGCCUGCAGCAGAGGCCUGGCUGGGGACCUGGGGACCUCCCACAUCCUAAUGCCAGUUUGGAAACCUUAGGGUGCCUCAUGUGGAGCCCUGGCUGCUAUCUGCUUUCUCAUCCCCAUCUCGCUGCUGCUUUCAAAAUGCUUGCAGAAUGCCAGCUGAAAUGAAGAGUACUAAGGAGGUGAAUUGCACUGAAGAUUUUCGACAUCCUUUUGAAAGCUUCCUGCAGGAAAGAUGAAAUUUCAAACCUGUAUAUUAUCUGAACCUUGAUCUCAUCCUGUCUGCUAUUGAAAUAUAUGACCCAAAAGUGCUUCCCUCUGAAUUAGGCACUCAUCGUGCAUUUUAACCUUCUUGGACAAAAUUAUGCAGGUCUCUGGGUUGCCUGCAUGAGUUAUCUUUUAUUCAUUAGAAUCCUAAAUGUUAUUGACAUGCAUUCUUAAUUAUUCCCUGCUGGAACCAGUAGUGUUCCUGAGCAAGUAUUUUACAUUUGUUAUGUCCUGCUGCUAGCACAGUUAAUAAUGUAUAUAAUAAUAAAAUAAGAAACUAUCAGAGCA
This 1314-nucleotide long non-coding RNA is filed under the name Cyanistes caeruleus (blue tit). Its description in RNAcentral is "lncRNA (ENSCCEG00000019038.1)". Lineage: Eukaryota; Metazoa; Chordata; Aves; Passeriformes; Paridae. The record is from RNAcentral.